Molecule: ribosomal RNA, 70 nt
Filed under: Escherichia coli
Lineage: Bacteria; Pseudomonadati; Pseudomonadota; Gammaproteobacteria; Enterobacterales; Enterobacteriaceae
Also listed under: 5 other names
Description: partial 23S ribosomal RNA
Source: RNAcentral
UGUAAGCGCAGCGAUGCGUUGAGCUAACCGGUACUAAUGAACCGUGAGGCUUAACCUUACAACGCCGAAG